This 525-nucleotide ribosomal RNA is filed under the name uncultured bacterium. RNAcentral's name for it is "bacterial SSU rRNA". It matches the Rfam family "Bacterial small subunit ribosomal RNA", at positions 936 to 1461 of the family's 1533-position model. The record is from RNAcentral.
AGCAUGUGGUUUAAUUCGAAGCAACGCGAAGAACCUUACCAAGUCUUGACAUCCCCCCUGACCGGAACUUAACCGUUCCUUUCCUUCGGGACAGGGGAGACAGGUGGUGCAUGGUUGUCGUCAGCUCGUGUCGUGAGAUGUUGGGUUAAGUCCCGCAACGAGCGCAACCCCUAUCCUCAGUAGCCAGCAGUUCGGCUGGGCACUCUGUGGAGACUGCCAGGGAUAACCUGGAGGAAGGCGGGGAUGACGUCAAAUCAUCAUGCCCCUUAUGAUUUGGGCUACACACGUGCUACAAUGGCGUAAACAAAGGGAAGCGAGCCUGUGAAGGUAAGCAAAUCCCAAAAAUAACGUCCCAGUUCGGACUGCAGUCUGCAACUCGACUGCACGAAGCUGGAAUCUCUAGUAAUCGCGGAUCAGAAUGCCGCGGUGAAUACGUUCCCGGGUCUUGUACACACCGCCCGUCACACCAUGGGAGUCAGUAACGCCCGAAGUCAGUGACCUAACCGCAAGGAGGAGCUGCCGGAA